RNAcentral lists this ribosomal RNA (450 nucleotides) under uncultured bacterium. Its description in RNAcentral is "partial 16S ribosomal RNA". It matches the Rfam family "Bacterial small subunit ribosomal RNA", at positions 354 to 796 of the family's 1533-position model. The record is from RNAcentral.
GUGGGGAAUUUUGGACAAUGGGCGCAAGCCUGAUCCAGCAAUGCCGCGUGCAGGAAGAAGGCCUUCGGGUUGUAAACUGCUUUUGUACGGAACGAAACGGUCCUGGUUAAUACCUGGGGCUAAUGACGGUACCGUAAGAAUAAGCACCGGCUAACUACGUGCCAGCAGCCGCGGUAAUACGUAGGGUGCGAGCGUUAAUCGGAAUUACUGGGCGUAAAGCGUGCGCAGGCGGUGCUGUAAGACAGGCGUGAAAUCCCCGGGCUCAACCUGGGGAUUGCGCUUGUGACUGCAAGGCUGGAGUGCGGCAGAAGGGGAUGGAAUUCCGCGUGUAGCAGUGAAAUGCGUAGAUAUGCGGAGGAACACCGAUGGCGAAGGCAAUCCCCUGGGCCUGCACUGACGCUCAUGCACGAAAGCGUGGGGAGCAAACAGGAUUAGAAACCCUUGUAGUCC